Molecule: long non-coding RNA, 226 nt
Organism: Ylistrum balloti
Lineage: Eukaryota; Metazoa; Mollusca; Bivalvia; Pectinida; Pectinidae
Exons: 3
Source: RefSeq, a predicted model, not a curated record
UGGACGCAUCGCUUCACUGCACACUGUUAGCUCACCUGUCCAAUAUAUUGAUGGACUGACCAGUGGCCGAGUCUUCUCUCUUAGUUAAAAACACGGGAGAUUACCAGACUAUUAAAUGAUCGUUGACUUCAUUGGUGUGUGAAUGUGGUGAUCCAGGAAUCUGCUUUCUGUCUGUGAUGUUUUUACCUGUUCUUCUUCACAUAAGAUAUUAUGUGGACAUGCUACC